This 468-nucleotide ribosomal RNA is filed under the name uncultured bacterium. RNAcentral's name for it is "partial 16S ribosomal RNA". It matches the Rfam family "Bacterial small subunit ribosomal RNA", at positions 28 to 507 of the family's 1533-position model. The record is from RNAcentral.
GACGAACGCUGGCGGCGUGCUUAACACAUGCAAGUCGAACGGAAAGGCCCUGCUUUUGUGGGGUGCUCGAGUGGCGAACGGGUGAGUAACACGUGAGUAACCUGCCCUUGACUUUGGGAUAACUUCAGGAAACUGGGGCUAAUACCGGAUAGGAGCUCCUGCUGCAUGGUGGGGGUUGGAAAGUUUCGGCGGUUGGGGAUGGACUCGCGGCUUAUCAGCUUGUUGGUGGGGGAGUGGCUUACCAAGGCUUUGACGGGUAGCCCGCCUGAGAGGGUGACCGGCCACCUUGGGACUGAGAUACGGCCCAGACUCCUACGGGAGGCAGCAGUGGGGAAUAUUGCACAAUGGGCGGAAGCCUGAUGCAGCAACGCCGCGUGCGGGAUGACGGCCUUCGGGCUGUAAACCGCUUUCGCCUGUGACGAAGCGUGAGUGACGGUAAUGGGUAAAGAAGCACCGGCUAACUACGUG